GACGAACGCUGGCGGCGUGCUUAACACAUGCAAGUCGAACGGAAAGGCCCUGCUUUUGUGGGGUGCUCGAGUGGCGAACGGGUGAGUAACACGUGAGUAACCUGCCCUUGACUUUGGGAUAACUUCAGGAAACUGGGGCUAAUACCGGAUAGGAGCUCCUGCUGCAUGGUGGGGGUUGGAAAGUUUCGGCGGUUGGGGAUGGACUCGCGGCUUAUCAGCUUGUUGGUGGGGUAGUGGCUUACCAAGGCUUUGACGGGUAGCCGGCCUGAGAGGGUGACCGGCCACAUUGGGACUGAGUUACGGCCCAGACUCCUACGGGAGGCAGCAGUGGGGAAUAUUGCACAAUGGGCGGACGCCUGAUGCAGCAACGCCGCGUGCGGGAUGACGGCCUUCGGGUGGUAAACCGCUUUCGCCUGUGACGAAGCGUGAGUGACGGUAAUGGGUAAAGAAGCACCGGCUAACUACGU
RNAcentral lists this ribosomal RNA (467 nucleotides) under uncultured bacterium. Its description in RNAcentral is "partial 16S ribosomal RNA". It matches the Rfam family "Bacterial small subunit ribosomal RNA", at positions 28 to 506 of the family's 1533-position model. The record is from RNAcentral.